AGAACGCAGUGAUUAAAGGGCCCAUAUCAUGCAAAAUCCACUUUUUAGACAUUUUGGAGCGUUCCUAUGACUCUAUGGGUCACAUAUACACACACUGAGCACGGUAGAAAUGCAUUUCCUGCUUUUUUCACAUUUUGAAAACGUAAAUUUUCUUAUCCAAUGAAAACAGCCACGACCUACUCCGAGGCCGUUCCCCAGUUCUCGUCACACUGGUUGAAAGUUCUCCUUGCAAAUCCUGAACCACCACCCCCACAAUGAUCCCGAACCAAAACUGGACUUCCGCCAUUUCCCCCCUCUCACUCACCGUGAACAGACCAGCACGGAAGCGCCCAAGUCCUCCCAUAGAAAUAGUUCGGUUCUUGGGUGUUCUAACCAACACCAAAGUCUAUUCAUUUUACCAGGGAACAACAAGGUGCGUACAAUGCUGGAUUUGUUUCACGGCUCCUGUUGGAAAAAAAGGACCUAUUCCUAAAGUCCGUCAUCCACUCACUGAAGAGGGCAGAUCCCAGUUGCCCACAUGCAAGGAGGCUGUCAAACAGAGAAAUCACUGCAGACUGUUGGUACACAGACAUCUGCUGCCCAGCUCAGGAGUAAAGGUAUGUAAGUUUGUAUGUACCAACAGUAAGAUAGGUAAUAGAAGAUUUUAAUUGGUAUAUACUGUUUAGAUUUUAUAUUUGAAUUGUAACAACUGUUUAUCUGUUGUUUUAGCACAGACAGGCCUGUCCUCUUGUUUGGUUUAAUUUUUUGUCUGGUAUUGUGUGUUCUUACAUUAGAGAAGGUUUUGACCUACAUAAUAAUUAACAUUUCACUAAUCUACAAUUCUGAUUGCACUACCUUUUGUUUUGAUGAGGUGAUGGUGAGGACAGCCACAGCUUCCAUCUGGUAGAGGACUGCUUCCGCUCAGUCUUCCAAAUAGUGAUGAGAACAAGGAUCACCACAUCUCCCUGUUUACCCUACUUUCAUGCAUUUCGUCUGCAAGGCCCUGCAAAAGCUUCUCCUUCGUCCUCAAACCCCCAGACUUCUUAAUUAACUCAGUAACCUAUACAUUGCACAUUGGAGUGUGAAGGUAACAGUUUGUUCUAGCUUUGGCGUAGUGGUGUAUUUUUUUGGUUUACAAUAAAGUUGGCUUUAACUAUUAUGUAUUUCA
RNAcentral lists this long non-coding RNA (1147 nucleotides) under Betta splendens (Siamese fighting fish). RNAcentral describes it as "lncRNA (ENSBSLG00000024052.1)". Lineage: Eukaryota; Metazoa; Chordata; Actinopteri; Anabantiformes; Osphronemidae. The record is from RNAcentral.